This 221-nucleotide long non-coding RNA is filed under the name Homo sapiens (human). RNAcentral's name for it is "non-protein coding lnc-BCL3-3:1". Lineage: Eukaryota; Metazoa; Chordata; Mammalia; Primates; Hominidae. The record is from RNAcentral.
CAUCACUGGGGUCUGUGAAGGGCUGUGUGUGUGCACACAAACACUCAUGCACACGCACUUCUGGAUGGCCUGUGUGAGCACUGACUGGGUGACCUGUGUGUGCCUGGCCCGCCUGACUGGGACGUCCAUGCGUCUUUCUGUUUGCAACUAUGUUUCAGUGUUUCUGACCCAGACCCUGUGCUCUGGUAUCUCUGAAGCUGCCAGGCUUGAAGGGCAUGUUA